AUUGAACGCUGGCGGCAGGCCUAACACAUGCAAGUCGAGCGGAUGAAGGGAGCUUGCUCCUGGAUUCAGCGGCGGACGGGUGAGUAAUGCCUAGGAAUCUGCCUGGUAGUGGGGGAUAACGUCCGGAAACGGGCGCUAAUACCGCAUACGUCCUGAGGGAGAAAGUGGGGGAUCUUCGGACCUCACGCUAUCAGAUGAGCCUAGGUCGGAUUAGCUAGUUGGUGGGGUAAAGGCCUACCAAGGCGACGAUCCGUAACUGGUCUGAGAGGAUGAUCAGUCACACUGGAACUGAGACACGGACCAGACUCCUACGGGAGGCAGCAGGGGGGAAUAUUGGACAAUGGGCGAAAGCCUGAUCCAGCCAUGCCGCGUGUGUGAAGAAGGUCUUCGGAUUGUAAAGCACUUUAAGUUGGGAGGAAGGGCAGUAAGUUAAUACCUUGCUGUUUUGACGUUACCAACAGAAUAAGCACCGGCUAACUUCGUG
RNAcentral lists this ribosomal RNA (484 nucleotides) under uncultured bacterium. Its description in RNAcentral is "partial 16S ribosomal RNA". It matches the Rfam family "Bacterial small subunit ribosomal RNA", at positions 30 to 507 of the family's 1533-position model. The record is from RNAcentral.